GUUGUCAUCUCUAGUAUAAGCAAUCUAUACUGUGAAACUGCGAAUGGCUCAUUAAAUCAGUUAUCGUUUAUUUGAUAGUACCUUACUACAUGGAUACCUGUGGUAAUUCUAGAGCUAAUACAUGCUAAAAACCCCGACUUCGGGAGGGGUGUAUUUAUUAGAUAAAAAACCAAUGCCCCUCGGGGCUCCUUGGUGAUUCAUAAUAACUUAACGAAUCGCAUGGCCUUGCGCCGGCGAUGGUUCAUUCAAAUUUCUGCCCUAUCAACUUUCGAUGGUAGGAUAGUGGCCUACCAUGGUGGCAACGGGUAACGGGGAAUUAGGGUUCGAUUCCGGAGAGGGAGCCUGAGAAACGGCUACCACAUCCAAGGAAGGCAGCAGGCGCGCAAAUUACCCAAUCCCGACACGGGGAGGUAGUGACAAUAAAUACUGAUACGGGGCUCUUUUGGGUCUCGUAAUUGGAAUGAGAACAAUCUAAACCCCUUAACGAGGAACAAUUGGAGGGCAAGUCUGGUGCCAGCAGCCGCGGUAAUUCCAGCUCCAAUAGCGUAUAUUAAAGUUGUUGCAGUUAAAAAGCUCGUAGUUGAACCUUGGGUCUGGCUGGCCGGUCCGCCUCACCGCGAGUACUGGUCCGGCUGGACCUUUCCUUCUGGGGAAGCCCAUGGCCUUCACUGGCUGUGGGGGGAACCAGGACUUUUACUGUGAAAAAAUUAGAGUGUUCAAAGCACGCCUUUGCUCGGAUACAUUAGCAUGGAAUAAUAGAAUAGGGACGUGCGGUUCUAUUUUGUUGGGUUUCUAGGACCCGCCCGUAAUGAUUUAAUAGGGGAUAGUCGGGGGGGCGUCAGUAUUUCAGCUGUCAGAGGUGAAAUUUCUUUGGAAUUGCUGAGGACUUACCUUACCUGCGAAAGCCAUUUCCGCCCAAAGGGAAUGGU
This 929-nucleotide ribosomal RNA is filed under the name Penicillium chrysogenum. Its description in RNAcentral is "SSU rRNA". It matches the Rfam family "Eukaryotic small subunit ribosomal RNA", at positions 63 to 970 of the family's 1831-position model. Lineage: Eukaryota; Fungi; Ascomycota; Eurotiomycetes; Eurotiales; Aspergillaceae. The record is from RNAcentral.